Molecule: unclassified non-coding RNA, 2782 nt
Filed under: Ceratitis capitata (Mediterranean fruit fly)
Lineage: Eukaryota; Metazoa; Arthropoda; Insecta; Diptera; Tephritidae
Description: putative nucleotidyltransferase FAM46C, transcript variant X2
Source: RNAcentral
UACAUAUAUAAAUGACCACAAAAAUAGAGAAAAUAAAUAAUUAACGAACCUAACCGCCUGAACUUGCAUAAAAUUACGAUAAGCGUAUUGCUCACAAUUUAAUGCACAAAAAAAUAAAUAAAAAUAUAUAUACAUAUAUAGAUAAUGAAAAAAUUUUAAACUAUUUUUCAAGUUAAAGAAAUAAUUUAAAGCUGAAAAUGUCUUUUAAUAAGUAUGUAAUGUGAAUAAAUUAAAUUUAAAAAAAAAGUUAAAAGUAGUGAAAAAAUAUAAAAUAUUCUAUCUAUAUGUAUAUAUAACAUUAAAAAUACUAUAAAAAUGUACAUGUGUACAUAAAUUCAUACAUCCGCAUAUGCCACAGUGUCAGCCGUCAGUUUUCAGCCGACGGCGCCGUCAUCGACAACACCGUUCUCGUUGUCGUUGUUAUCUUUGUGGUCGUCGGCAUCUGCAUCGCCAUCGUUUUAAUAUUGUAGUAUGUACAUAUGUACAUAUAUAUUAUUCGUUGCCGCAAUAGUUGCUCUUCUAUGGUCGGCAUAUCGUUAAUAGUCGAGAAGAAUCUAGAAAAGGCGCCAGCGCAGCAACAGACAGGCUGUUAAUAUGGCAUUUAAACAUACAUACAUUACAUAUAUGUAUACACACAAAUUCGAAUACUAUGUACAUAUAUAUUAAAAAUUUUACUAUACAAACAGGGGCAUUGUAAGCGACUAAAACACAUGAGCAUACAAAUAUAAAACUAUUCGUAUUUAAAUUUGUAAGUGUCUUUAUCACAAUACUUAUACAUACUUAUAUGUACAUGUGUGUAUAUGUACAUAUGGUAUAGCAGUAACCGUAGGCCCACGCGCUAUGCAGUCACACAAAUAAUCAUUAAAGCGUCUUCAUAAACAUAUGUACACACAUCUUUUAUCAACGCUUUGUAUGUACAUACAUAACUCUCCCGGCUUUUGGUAUUCGCUUAGUUUACUUACAUUCAUACAUAUGUGCAUGCAUACAUAUAUAUAUCUUUAUGCAUAUUUGCUUGUCCCCAUGCCUCCCUGCCUUUCACCAACAACUUUUUAGUGUGACGUCAGUAAAUGCUGUGUGCGCGCCUUUCGCUAAAUCAUGUCGCCUGCUUGCCGCACACCCAACCCUUACACGCUUGCGAUAUUCAAUUUUUUCUGCUUUUUUCAUUCUUCAUUUUAUGGCAUAUUUCUUUCUGUUAUUUUUCUCUUUUUCCUCUUCUUUUUUUCCUCUUCUUUUUUUCCUUUGAAUGCCAGCGCCCCAAGUCACGAAAAUCUUAAAAAAACUCGAACGUGCUCAAAAGCUCUAGCGCUGUAGAGCUCAAAAGAACAGUGAGUGGGUGAAUAGAGAGCAACGAGAGUAAGUGAUGAAACGAAUGAAGUGAAGAGAGACGAGUGUGAAAACCUACUAUUUCUGAUUGCUGUUGAUGUUAGUGGCGCAUGGGUUAGUUGAAUAUUUUAGUCUCAGAGCUUUUGAGUGCCACUUAGGCAGAGUGCUUGCGUGUUUGAGUGAGUCGUUAUUUGAGUUGAAUGUGACUGAAUGAGCAAGUAAAUGAGCGAGUGCGUGAAUGCUGGAGUAGCGUCGAGAAAAUUCUCGGUCAAAACUUGAAAGUAAGCGCCUAACUGCUAUAGGAUACACUUGCUGGUGUACGUUGAACAAAAUUAUUUGUAUGAGUAAAAAGUUAUUACUCAAUUAGAUACUCUUCAGCUCAGGUAGCAGUGCUUAGUGCUUUGCUUACUCAUUCGCCUGAUGACACUCGUAAGUUCACUCCACAUUACUCAUUGCUUAACUCUUUCUCUCGCUCUGCCACUCAUUUGGCGCUUCGCCUGCACUAGUUGACGGCCUAUGCGGCCUAUUAGGUGUACAUUCCCCAACAGCGUAACGUUUGCAGCAGUACGAUUUCGAACUCGCUCGGCGUAAGACAUUAACUGUUCCCGUAGACGCGGUCGUACACACGUAUACUAUAUAUAAAGUUAAUAAAUUUGCCAAGUUGCACACAUAGAAAAUAACAAAAAAAAAAAAACAAAAACAAAGCAAAAUCUUCAACGUCAGCAGCAGCAAAAGUAGUAGUGCUAAUAAAAAUUAUAAUUUUAUUGUGCCUGGCUAUGGUCUAAAACUGCACACAGCUAAUCGACAUCGAAAAAUUUUAUUAUAAAUUUUCUUUUCGGUGAUUUUCUUGUUGAAUUUGGUCGGCAGUGCUGCAACAAUCAACGCACGUCAUCAAAUCAACAAAUCGUCGAUUGCCGUAGCCGUCGUGGUCAUCGUAGCCGUUGUCAUUGUCGCCAAACGUCGUCGUCGUUGUAGUCGUUGCCGUCGUCAAAGUAAUCAAAGUCUCAGUGUGUUUCUCUAACAUAUAGUUUGACGACUGUUUUGCAAAGGGUGCAGAGGCAAAAAAAUAUUUUGCAAAAUAAUAUAUAAAAUUUAGAUUUUCGAAGAGAACAAUUUUCGAAGAAAAGUGGGCGCGUGCAAUUUAUAAAAAUAUUUUUACAAGUGUACAGCUGGCACAUUCCAACUAAAAUACAAACAUACAUACUUACCUGCAUACCUACAUACGCUUGAAAACGAAAAUUCAAGGCGAAAUUUGUAGUGUAUCUAGUGUUGAAUGCGAAUAGAAAAACUAACAAACAUACACACACACAAAUAGAAAAGCACACAAUUGUAGAAAAUUGUGUUGUUUACGAUUUCUACGAAAUAAAUAAGAAUUAAAUGAACUAAAAAUUGAAGAAAAUUCAAAUCGAAGCAUAUUUUGAAAGAAUAAAAACUAAAAAGUACAAAGCAAUUUGAAAAA